AAAGCAAGUCACAAAGCCUGCCCUGAGUCAAGGGAGAGGAAAUGGCUUCUAUUUCUCUAAAGGAGGAACAAUAUGCACACAUAGGGAGAGAUGAAUCAACAGUGGCCAUCUUUGGAGACUAUCUACUGCAGAUUUUAUAAGGGCGCAGAUGAAGGACGCUCUUUUCUGCUUCAGCUGCAUCGCGAGAGCUCAGAAGCUCAGUCAAUGCAAAACAGAAGGCACUGAGGGAAAAUUUCAGAUGAGAAUGGACGUACCCUCUCCAGAGGCAAAGAAGUUUGCAAAUUACUUUUUGAAGCCCUCUCUAUAUAAUUUUGAGGUGAGGUGGGGAGGAGCAGAUGUUUUGCCUCUAGUGAGACAAUAAUUUACUUCCCUAUUAUUGUUUGACUUUGCCUUGUUUCUGCCUAUGAAUUACUAACAGAGGCUUGCAGCACUAUCUAUGGGGCCUGAAACAUACAAUAAGGGGCCAGAAGGCCUUGAGAGAGCUGAAAAAGAAAUCAUCACCCUAGCCUCACCCAGUCACCUGUCUCCAGGCAAAAUAAUUCCCUGUCCUUCAUGAUGAUUCGGAGAAGACCAGCCCCACUCAGCUGCUGUUGCCAACCAACCAUAGUUCUUGUUACCCUGGGCCACAAGUGCCUUAUCCACUAGAUUGAGAAAGUUAAUGCCAGAGGGAAGUGAGAAACUAACUAUGGAAGAGUGGACCCAUGUUGCAAAAACAAAGUUCUAGGGAAAGACGUGAACAAAGAUGGGUGAGUAUGAAUGGGGUCUGACUGGAACAUGGCAGAGAAGAAAUUCAACUAUGCAAUGAGAUAAAGCAAAGAUUCUAAUGAAAGACUGAUGUGGUCAUAAACAAACAAACAAACAAACAAAAAACAGGUGCCCAAUGAAUACUUCUAACUGAAAAAAAAUCUGAAGAUGCUGGUCAGAGGAUCCUCAGGAGGGAAAAAACCUGACUUUCCUUGGUAAGGGCCUGUGGAGCAAGUAAUUGCAGCUUGAACCAUGGGGUCUCCUUGGAGCUGCGGGCACCAAGCAUCAGAUCUGAACACAGAAGCUGGGCCAGUUUGUUAAGUAGGGUGCGGCAGAGACUGUUAGUUGCCUAUCCAAUAUCCAGUCUCCUCUUUUUCCUUGGUCACAUAACCCAGAUUUUAAUCUGGGUGGCAGUGUGCUCAGCUGAAAGACUACACUUGGAAGCCACAUUUGCAGCCUGAGGGCCAGUGAGACAUAAGCAGAAGUUGUUGGGUAGUCUUCUGUGGACUCCUUAAGAGGGAAUAGACUACUCACAGACUCCUUUUUCUCCUUCUCCCUUCCUUCCAUGCCUUUCUGGAACAGGAAGUUUAACAUGAUGAUUGGCGCUCUAGCUGUCACAUUGGACCAUGAAGUUAUGUUGUUUUUUUUUUUAAUUAAUUUUUAGUUUUAUUUCAGUGGUUUUGGGGGUAUAGGUGGUUUUUGAUUCCACG
RNAcentral lists this long non-coding RNA (1454 nucleotides) under Homo sapiens (human). Its description in RNAcentral is "HSALNT0210701". Lineage: Eukaryota; Metazoa; Chordata; Mammalia; Primates; Hominidae. The record is from RNAcentral.